RNAcentral lists this ribosomal RNA (253 nucleotides) under uncultured bacterium. RNAcentral's name for it is "partial 16S ribosomal RNA". It matches the Rfam family "Bacterial small subunit ribosomal RNA", at positions 524 to 776 of the family's 1533-position model. The record is from RNAcentral.
GACGUAGGGUGCAAGCGUUGUCCGGAAUUAUUGGGCGUAAAGAGUUCGUAGGCGGUUACUUAAGUCUGGUGUUAAAGCCCGAUGCUCAACAUCGGCAUGGCAUUGGAAACUGGGUAGCUAGAGUGUGUCAGAGGUUACGGGAAUUCCUGGUGUAGCGGUGAAAUGCGUAGAUAUCAGGAGGAACACCUGUGGCGAAAGCGCGUAACUGGGGCACAACUGACGCUGAGGAACGAAAGCCAGGGUAUCCAAAGGG